This is a long non-coding RNA of Limanda limanda (common dab), 775 nucleotides long. RefSeq lists it as uncharacterized. Lineage: Eukaryota; Metazoa; Chordata; Actinopteri; Pleuronectiformes; Pleuronectidae. The record is from RefSeq and is a predicted model, not a curated record. The transcript has 12 exons.
CUUUCACUUGCUUCUCUCCUCUGGUCGAGAUGGAGAACGAACCAGGAAGUGUUUGCUGCACAGGUGGCAGGAGACUGUGGCAAGACUCCAUGCGGGACCCAUCUAGGGUUGGCUGGCUAGGUCAUCGAAGCAGCUGAAAAGCCCAUUGUGCCUCUACGUAAGCAACUUUCUCUAGCUGAAAAACCUUCGAUUGGAAACGUGCAGAGGAUUCACAAUGGAGUCUUUCGAUGAUUCGGUGACGCUUCAGCAUCUCGAUUGGUGUGUUCCCAUUGACGGUUCUGAUGAAGAAAGUUCCCUCAUUGAGCGAGGAUGAAGCCAACAUGGAACAGAUCUGAGUGAUGACCAAGCCCGUCCCAGAUGCUUGGAGAUGCUGUCUCACUUUCCAGUGGGGGCCACAGGUGUCUGACUAUGCUGCAGGUCACUUGGCUUCCAUGGCCUCAUCUUUGGAUUGCUGUCCUGAUUUCUGUGGCAUAUAUGGAUGAAGCCAACAUGGAACAGAUCUGAGUGAUGACCAAGCCCGUCCCAGAUAGUCUGGAUCGAACCUGGGCCUGGGAGGAUCUGCCAGGUGUUCUGCCUUCAAAACCAAAUCAGUAGAACUAAAGGGUUUCUCUCCUGUAUGAAUCCUCAUUGUGUAUUUAGAUUUGCACCUUUGGUAAAAUCUUGUACCACAUCAAGAGCAAAAUCUCUGGAGUUAUAAAAAAUCCUCUACAGCUCAGAAUUGUAUUCGGGUGUCUUCUUAAAAAUCCAGCACUUCCCAAUAAAAUAACUCAACUAA